RNAcentral lists this long non-coding RNA (430 nucleotides) under Physcomitrium patens. RNAcentral's name for it is "long non-coding RNA (PPAT_LNC011656)". The record is from RNAcentral. Lineage: Eukaryota; Viridiplantae; Streptophyta; Bryopsida; Funariales; Funariaceae.
AAUCUUAAAAAAAUAUUAGAGUGAUUAAAAACAUAUCUCAAAUACAUCUCAAUUCAAUCUUAAUUUAAUCCUAGUUGAAAUCUUACUUCAUUCAAACUUUAGGCCAAAAACUAACUAAAUCUUAAAUCCUAAACAAACUCAAAUAAAAUCCUAAAUCCUAAAUCAAAUCCUGAUCAAAUACUAAUCGAAUCCUAAAUCCUAAACCAAAUCCUAAUCCUAAAUCAAAUCGUGACCAAACCUUAAACCGUGAACUAAAUCUUAAUCCUAAAUCAAAUCUUAACCAAAGUCUAAAUCCUAAUCCUAAAUCAAAUCUUAACCAAAUUCUAAUCCUAAUCCUAAAUCCUAAGCCAAACUCUAAAAAAAUCCUAAUCAAAUCUUAAUCCUAAAUCAAAUCCUAAUCAAAUCUUAAUCCUAAAUCAAAUCCUAAUCA